GACGAACGCUGGCGGCGUGCUUAACACAUGCAAGUCGAACGGAAAGGCCCUGCUUUUGUGGGGUGCUCGAGUGGCGAACGGGUGAGUAACACGUGAGUAACCUGCCCUUGACUUUGGGAUAACUUCACGAAACUGGGGCUAAUACCGGAUAGGGGCUCCUGCUCCAUGGUGGGGGUUGGAAAGUUUCGGCGGUUGGGGCUGGUCUCGCGGCCUAUCAGUUAGUUGGUGGGGUAGUGGCUUACCAAGUCUUUGACGGAUAGCCGGCCUGAGUGGGUGACCGGACGCAUUGGAACUGAGUUACGGGCCAGGCUCCUACGGGAGGCAGUGGUGGAGAAUAGUGCACAAUGGUCGGAAGCCUGAUGCAGCAACGCCGCGUGCGUGAAGACGGCCUUCGGGUUGUAAACCGCUUUCGCCUGUGACGAAGCGUGAGUGACAGUAAUGGGUAAAGAAGCACCGGCUAACUACGUG
RNAcentral lists this ribosomal RNA (468 nucleotides) under uncultured bacterium. RNAcentral's name for it is "partial 16S ribosomal RNA". It matches the Rfam family "Bacterial small subunit ribosomal RNA", at positions 28 to 507 of the family's 1533-position model. The record is from RNAcentral.